This 773-nucleotide ribosomal RNA is filed under the name Bacillus sp. (in: firmicutes). RNAcentral describes it as "bacterial SSU rRNA". It matches the Rfam family "Bacterial small subunit ribosomal RNA", at positions 1 to 755 of the family's 1533-position model. The record is from RNAcentral. Lineage: Bacteria; Bacillati; Bacillota; Bacilli; Caryophanales; Bacillaceae.
UAGGGGUUCGUUUCUCGCUUCUGGAUGAACCGCGGGUGGCGGCCCCUAAUAACAUGCCACUUGGAGUGAACUGCCUAGAAGCCCGCUUGUAUGACGUUAGAGGUGGACCGGCUGAGUAACACGUGGGCAACAUGCCCGUAAGAUUGGGAUAAGUUCGGGAAACCGAAGUUAAUACCGCAUAGGAUCUUCUCCUUCAUGGGAGAUGAUUGAAAGAUGGUUUCGGCUAUCACUUACAGAUGGGCCCGCGGUGCAUGAGCUAGUUGGUGAGGUAACGGCUCACCAAGGCAACGAUGCAUAGCCGACCUGAGAGGGUGAUCGGCCACACUGGGACUGAGACACGGCCCAGACUCCUACGGGAGGCAGCAGUAGGGAAUCUUCCGCAAUGGACGAAAGUCUGACGGAGCAACGCCGCGUGAGUGAUGAAGGCUUUCGGGUCGUAAAACUCUGUUGUUAGGGAAGAACAAGUAUGAGAGUAACUGCUCGUACCUUGACGGUACCUAACCAGAAAGCCACGGCUAACUACGUGCCAGCAGCCGCGGUAAUACGUAGGUGGCAAGCGUUAUCCGGAAUUAUUGGGCGUAAAGCGCGCGCAGGCGGUUUCUUAAGUCUGAUGUGAAAGCCCACGGCUCAACCGUGGAGGGUCAUUGGAAACUGGGGAACUUGAGUGCAGAAGAGAAAAGCGGAAUUCCACGUGCAGCGGUGAAAUGCGUAGAGAUGUGGAGGAACACCAGUGGCGAAGGCGGCUUUUUGGUCUGUAACUGACGCUAGGCGCG